AUCAAUAAGCGGAGGAAAAGCAACUAACCAGGAUUCCCCCAGUAACGGCGAGCGAAGCGGGAACAGCUCGAGCAGGCAAUCUCUGGUGUCGAUCGCCAGCGAAUUGUGGCCGGCAGAGGCGGGUGCACCUGACGCGACUCCGUCGAAGUUGACCUGGAAAGGCACGUCGAAGAGGGUGAUAACCCCGUGCGUGGCGGAGUCGCCGAAGGCCGCUACCGUCUUCGGAGAGUCGGGUUGUUUGGGAGUGCAGCCCAAAGUGGGUGGUAAACUCCAUCUAAAGCCAAAUAGCGGCACGAGACCGAUAGCGAACAAGUACCAUGAGGGAAAGGUGAAAAGCACUUUGGAAAGAGAGUUAAAGAGGCCGCGAAACCGUU
RNAcentral lists this ribosomal RNA (374 nucleotides) under Erylus deficiens. RNAcentral's name for it is "partial large subunit ribosomal RNA". It matches the Rfam family "Eukaryotic large subunit ribosomal RNA", at positions 42 to 409 of the family's 3401-position model. The record is from RNAcentral. Lineage: Eukaryota; Metazoa; Porifera; Demospongiae; Tetractinellida; Geodiidae.